AGGCAGAUCCUCUUCGGAGGUGACGCUUUGUGGAACGAGCGGCGGACGGGUGAGUAACACGUGGGCAACCUGCCUGUAAGAUUGGGAUAACCCCGGGAAACCGGGGCUAAUACCGGAUAAUACUUUUCGUUGCAUAACGAGAAGUUGAAAGGCGGCUUUUAGCUGUCACUUACAGAUGGGCCCGCGGCGCAUUAGCUAGUUGGUAAGGUAACGGCUUACCAAGGCGACGAUGCGUAGCCGACCUGAGAGGGUGAUCGGCCACACUGGGACUGAGACACGGCCCAGACUCCUACGGGAGGCAGCAGUAGGGAAUCUUCCGCAAUGGACGAAAGUCUGACGGAGCAACGCCGCGUGAGUGAUGAAGGUUUUCGGAUCGUAAAACUCUGUUGUCAGGGAAGAACAAGUGCCGUUCAAAUAGGGCGGCACCUUGACGGUACCUGACCAGAAAGCCCCGGCUAACUACGUGCCAGCAGCCGCGGUAAUACGUAGGGGGCAAGCGUUGUCCGGAAUUAUUGGGCGUAAAGCGCGCGCAGGCGGUCCUUUAAGUCUGAUGUGAAAGCCCACGGCUUAACCGUGGAGGGCCAUUGGAAACUGGAGGACUUGAGUACAGAAGAGGAGAGUGGAAUUCCACGUGUAGCGGUGAAAUGCGUAGAGAUGUGGAGGAACACCAGUGGCGAAGGCGACUCUCUGGUCUGUAACUGACGCUGAGGUGCGAAAGCGUGGGGAGCGAACAGGAUUAGAUACCCUGGUAGUCCACGCCGUAAACGAUGAGUGCUAGGUGUUAGGGGGUUUCCGCCCCUUAGUGCUGAAGUUAACGCAUUAAGCACUCCGCCUGGGGAGUACGGCCGCAAGGCUGAAACUCAAA
This 865-nucleotide ribosomal RNA is filed under the name Virgibacillus sp. Its description in RNAcentral is "bacterial SSU rRNA". It matches the Rfam family "Bacterial small subunit ribosomal RNA", at positions 64 to 905 of the family's 1533-position model. The record is from RNAcentral. Lineage: Bacteria; Bacillati; Bacillota; Bacilli; Caryophanales; Bacillaceae.